UGCCUUGUUCUACAGCAUCUCCCCGUGGGAUUUCAUUUUCACCUUCACUCUUCUUGAUCAAGAGUGAAGAGAAUCGAGAUAGUCUCAUUUUGGAUCCUGCGUCAUAGAAUGUGGCCUCGAAGGUCCCUCAGGGUCACUCUGGGCCAACCCCAUGCUUCUGGGCCUGUUUACGCCCAAAGUAAGCAAAGAAGGAUCUGACCUUCCUCCCAAGGCCUGCAAAGCAAUACAGAUGGACAGCAAGAACAACAAGAAGCCUCAUGAAGCCAACAAGCUUUCUUCAGUUCACAGACAAUUGGGCCUCCUCCAUGUUUCAACCAAGAUCUGCUGAGUGAAUGAAUGUAAUUAAGGAACUUGAGCUCCACGCGGUCAAGAGCAGUCUGCUGUGUCCUCUCUUGUCAUCCCAGAACCUGAACGUUGUCAGCC
This is a long non-coding RNA of Marmota flaviventris (yellow-bellied marmot), 423 nucleotides long. RefSeq lists it as uncharacterized. Lineage: Eukaryota; Metazoa; Chordata; Mammalia; Rodentia; Sciuridae. The record is from RefSeq and is a predicted model, not a curated record.